This 420-nucleotide ribosomal RNA is filed under the name uncultured bacterium. RNAcentral's name for it is "bacterial SSU rRNA". It matches the Rfam family "Bacterial small subunit ribosomal RNA", at positions 917 to 1333 of the family's 1533-position model. The record is from RNAcentral.
GGACCCGCACAAGUAGUGGAGCAUGUGGUUUAAUUCGAAGAUACGCGCAGAACCUUACCAACACUUGACAUGUUCGUCGCGACUUUAAGAGAUUAAAGUUUUCGGUUCGGCCGGACGAAACACAGGUGCUGCAUGGCUGUCGUCAGCUCGUGUCGUGAGAUGUUGGGUUAAGUCCCGCAACGAGCGCAACCCUCACUUUUAGUUGCCAGCGAGUAAUGUCGGGGACUCUAAAGAAACUGCCUACGCAAGUAGAGAGGAAGGCGGGGACGACGUCAAGUCAUCACGGCCCUUACGUCCUGGGCCACACACGUGCUACAAUGGUUGGUACAGAGGGCAGCUACCGGGUGACCGGAUGCGAAUCUCUAAAGCCAAUCUCAGUUCGGAUUGGAGUCUGCAACUCGACUCCGUGAAGCUGGAAUC